GAAAAUAUAAGGGAUUUUGGCCUUUGGGUAUCUGGGUGUUGCAUUCUUCUGGUAUUAGUGAUAAGACCUACAAAGUGAAGCAAUGUGCAUCUAGAAUGAUGGUAAAUAUUCCUUGUUGGAUCUAUUGGCAAGGGCAACAAGUGUCUACGAAAAUAAAUUGAAUGUAUUAGUAUUGUAUUUUGAGAGCAAAAAUGGUGGAAAAGCAUCUUGUCCUUGUAAUUUGGUUUCCUCAUAGAUUGAAUAUUUCUUUUUCUGGGUUUUAGAUUUGUAAAGCAGAAGACCAUUUUUUGAAAAUAAUGUCAGCUAGUCUUUAAGUUUCUAAAUCAUUUAAGAAGAGUACUUGUGCUUACUUUGACCUUACUGCUGGAGUUCAUAUGACUGGUGCAUAUUCUCUGCUCCAAUUUUUUUUCAUUACAACAAUAUAUCAAGGUACUACUGUAUCGUUACCACUUUUCUUUGUGAGAUUAUAUCAAUUUGUUCGUAAUCGUUAGUGUUUCCUUAUAAUAUCUAUUAGCGAGUAGACAAUACCACUUUGCUGCUGGAAGUUUCCUAAUUGUGUCUUGAUAAUUUAAGCUGUCUGAGUUUGUGGGAUGAUAAUUCUGUCAAGAAACACCAACUUAAGUGAAGUCUUCAACCAUGUAAGCAGAAGAUUCUUGUUCCAAUCAGAAUGA
Molecule: long non-coding RNA, 671 nt
Organism: Pistacia vera
Lineage: Eukaryota; Viridiplantae; Streptophyta; Magnoliopsida; Sapindales; Anacardiaceae
Exons: 3
Source: RefSeq, a predicted model, not a curated record